AACGAACGCUGGCAGCGUGGAUUAGGCAUGCAAGUCGAACGGGAUCCGCGAAGUAGCAAUACCGAGCGGUGAGAGUGGCGGAUUGGCGAGUAACACGUGGGCAACCUGCCCUGUGGUUGGGGAAAACCUCGGGAAACUGAGGCUAAUACCCGAUGAGACGUCUGGCGACAUCGCCGGAGCGUGAAAGGGGGCCGCAAGGCUCCCGCCAUGGGAUGGGCUCGCGCAUCAUCAGCUUGUUGGCGGGGUAACGGCCCACCAAGGCUUACGAUUAGCUGGUCUGAGAGGAUGACCAGCCGCACUGGGACUGAGAUACUGCCCAGACUCCUACGGGAGGCUGCAGUCGAGGAUCAUUCGCAAUGGGGGAAACCCUGACGAUGCGACGCUGCGUGGAGGAAUGAAGGCCUUCGGGUUGUAAACUCCUGUCAUGAGGGAAGAGGCGAGGGGUGUCAACACCACCCUUAGUUGACUGUACUUCAAGAGGAAGGGACGGCUAACUCUGUGCCAGCAGCGGC
Molecule: ribosomal RNA, 512 nt
Filed under: uncultured bacterium
Lineage: Bacteria
Description: bacterial SSU rRNA
Rfam family: Bacterial small subunit ribosomal RNA
Source: RNAcentral